UCAUUUAUUGAGUUUUGCUUGAUUCUAGGCUCAUUCCAAGUAGUAAAGGGCGUAAUUUGGUCCAAAUUGACAUGUGAAAAUAAUUGUUUUUUAACCUUAGAAUCAAGCAAAACUCAAUAAAUGAGU
RNAcentral lists this microRNA precursor (126 nucleotides) under Vigna radiata var. radiata (mung bean). RNAcentral describes it as "pre miRNA MIR403". The record is from RNAcentral. Lineage: Eukaryota; Viridiplantae; Streptophyta; Magnoliopsida; Fabales; Fabaceae.